AUACAUGCAAGUCGAACGCGAAUCGGUAGCUUGCUACCGAGGAAAGUGGCGGACGGGUGAGUAAUAUGUAGAGAAUCUGCCCUAGAGAGGGGGACAACAGCUGGAAACGGUUGCUAAUACCCCAUAUGAGCGUACCUGAAAUGGUAUUCUUGAAAACUCCGGUGCUCUAGGAUGAGUCUGCAUCUGAUUAGCUAGUUGGGGGUGUAAUGGACCACCAAGGCGACGAUCAGUAGCUGGUUUGAGAGGAUGAUCAGCCACAAUGGGACUGAGACACGGCCCAUACUCCUACGGGAGGCAGCAGUAGGGAAUUUUGCGCAAUGGGCGAAAGCCUGACGCAGCAACGCCGCGUGAUUGAUAAAGCCCUUCGGGGUGUAAAGAUCUGUCAGUGGGGACGAAACUUGACGGUACCCACAGAGGAAGCACCGGCUAACUCCGUGCCAGCAGCCGCGGUAAUACGGAGGGUGCAAGCGUUGUCCGGAAUCAUUGGGCGUAAAGAGUUCGUAGGUGGUUUGUUAAGUUUGGUGUUAAAUGCAGAGGCUCAACUUCUGUUCGGCAUCGGAUACUGGCAGACUAGAAUGCGGUAGAGGUAAAGGGAAUUCCUGGUGUAGCGGUGAAAUGCGUAGAUAUCAGGAGGAACAUCGGUGGCGUAAGCGCUUUACUGGGCCGUAAUUGACACUGAGGAACGAAAGCCAGGGUAGCAAAUGGGAUUAGAUACCCCAGUAGUCCUGGCCGUAAACGAUGGAUACUAGGUGUUGCGGGUAUCGACCCCUGCAGUGCCGUAGCAAACGCGUUAAGUAUCCCGCCUGGGGAGUACGCACGCAAGUGUGAAACUCAAAGGAAU
Molecule: ribosomal RNA, 841 nt
Filed under: human gut metagenome
Description: bacterial SSU rRNA
Rfam family: Bacterial small subunit ribosomal RNA
Source: RNAcentral